AUACGGAGGGUGCAAGCGUUACUCGGAAUCACUGGGCGUAAAGGAUGCGUAGGCGGAUAAUCAAGUCAAAAGUGAAAUCCUACAGCUUAACUGUAGAACUGCUUUCGAAACUGGUUAUCUAGAAUAUGGAAGAGGCAGAUGGAAUUAGUGGUAUAGGGGUAAAAUCCGUAGAGAUCACUAGGAAUACCGAUUGCGAAGGCGAUCUGCUGGGACAUUAUUGACGCUGAGGCAUGAAAGCGUGGGGAGCAAACAGGAUUAGAUACCCUAGUAGUCC
Molecule: ribosomal RNA, 274 nt
Filed under: uncultured bacterium
Lineage: Bacteria
Description: partial 16S ribosomal RNA
Rfam family: Bacterial small subunit ribosomal RNA
Source: RNAcentral